CCUACGGGAGGCAGCAGUGGGGAAUCUUGCGCAAUGGGCGAAAGCCUGACGCAGCAACGCCGCGUGCGGGAAGAAGGCUUUCGGGCUGUAAACCGCUUUCAGCAGGAACGAAAAUGACGGUACCUGCAGAAGAAGGAGCGGCCAACUAUGUGCCAGCAGCCGCGGUGAUACAUAGGCUUCAAGCGUUGUCCGGAUUUAUUGGGCGUAAAGAGUUCGUAGGCGGUCGAGUAAGUCGGGUGUGAAAAUUCUGGGCUCAACCCAGAGACGCCACCCGAUACUGCUUGACUUGAGUUCGAUAGGGGAGUGGGGAAUUCCUAGUGUAGCGGUGAAAUGCGCAGAUAUUAGGAGGAACACCGGUGGCGAAGGCGCCACUCUGGAUCGAUACUGACGCUGAGGAACGAAAGCAUGGGUAGCAAACAGGAUUAGAUACCCUGGUAGUCCAUGCCGUAAACGGUGGGCACUAGGUGUGGGUUUCUAUUAACGAAAUCCGCGCCGUCGCUAACGCAUUAAGUGCCCCGCCUGGGGGUAGGUACGGUCGCGAGACGAAACUACGAAGAAGUAAGUACGCGUUGAGUACGUUGCCGACGGCGACGACGAGGGAGGAGG
RNAcentral lists this ribosomal RNA (606 nucleotides) under uncultured bacterium. RNAcentral describes it as "bacterial SSU rRNA". The stretch from base 1 to 520 matches the Rfam family "Bacterial small subunit ribosomal RNA", at positions 338 to 873 of the family's 1533-position model. The record is from RNAcentral.